RNAcentral lists this transfer RNA (89 nucleotides) under Thermoproteota archaeon. RNAcentral's name for it is "tRNA-Ser". It matches the Rfam family "tRNA". From Rfam's summary of the family: Transfer RNA (tRNA) molecules are approximately 80 nucleotides in length. Their secondary structure includes four short double-helical elements and three loops (D, anti-codon, and T loops). The record is from RNAcentral. Lineage: Archaea; Thermoproteati; Thermoproteota. RNAcentral also lists the same sequence under 1 other name.
GCCGGGGUGCCCGAGCGGACCAAGGGGACGGGCUGGAGACCCGUUCCCCCGUAUGGGGGGCGCGGGUUCGAAUCCCGCCCCCGGCGCCA